This 444-nucleotide ribosomal RNA is filed under the name uncultured bacterium. RNAcentral describes it as "partial 16S ribosomal RNA". It matches the Rfam family "Bacterial small subunit ribosomal RNA", at positions 354 to 796 of the family's 1533-position model. The record is from RNAcentral.
GUAGGGAAUAUUGGGCAAUGGUCGGAAGACUGACCCAGCCAUGCCGCGUGCAGGAAGACGGCCCUCUGGGUUGUAAACUGCUUUUAUCUGGGAAGAAAAAGGCCAUGCGUGGCAAAUUGCCGGUACCAGAUGAAUAAGCACCGGCUAACUCCGUGCCAGCAGCCGCGGUAAUACGGAGGGUGCGAGCGUUGUCCGGAUUUAUUGGGUUUAAAGGGUGCGUAGGCGGCUGAUUAAGUCAGCGGUGAAAGACUUCGGCUUAACCGGAGCAUUGCCGUUGAUACUGGUUGGCUUGAGUGUCGGAGGGGGACAUGGAAUUGAUGGUGUAGCGGUGAAAUGCAUAGAUACCAUCAGGAACACCGAUAGCGAAGGCAUUGUACUGGCCGACAACUGACGCUGAUGCACGAAAGUGUGGGGAUCGAACAGGAUUAGAAACCCCAGUAGUCC